GUGGUGCAUUAAUUUCUGGAAAUACGCGGGCGCUGCUGGACUUGCCUCUUUUUUUUUUUUUUUUUUUUUUUUUUGGCGGUGGUUUUGAUUCAUCCCUGAAAGUCGGGAGAAGGCCUGUAGGCGACGCUGUGCGAGCGAGGAGCGGGUCGCUCCGGCGCGGCGGCGGUCUAGGUGUGGGUGGAGCCGAGGCCAUCCGGACGCGGGGCACCGGAGCCCGGGGACCGGCGCACUUCAAACGUCGUCUUCCUCUUUAUGCUUGAAACUCAGAGGCGUUGGACAAGGCUGGAGUACAAAAAUGUGAAUAUGCAUACACUACCGUGCCUGUCUGUAGUGGCUUACUGUAAAACGAGGGAAUUCCAUCGCUGCAGAGUUUUCUGUUUUGUAUAAAUUAAAAGGGGGCUGUUCUCCAGGUUAAAAGGUGCCAGUAGGUAAGCGGAUUUUACUCAGGAGGAAACAUGCUGUUUUUUAAAUGAAUUAAGUUGUCAGCGCCAGUCGUUUAUUUGUAUGUGUACAGAGGUGCUAGAAGUGUAUGGGACAGCUCACCUCCAGGUUAUUCUUUUGCUUUAGAAGUCACUGGGGGCCAAGUGUUUUAAGAUUUUGUCAUUCCUGCUCUCCAGACCCUGGAGUAAGUCGGGGCCCAAAGAGUCCUGCAAGAAAUGGGCAAGAAAGGAGCCCGAUUCGGCAUCCUUGCAAAUAGAACUAUGUCUCGCCAUGCCUCUGCCGUCUUACCCCCAGAGCAUCCGUAGAAGUUGGCCCCGUCCUGAGGAUUUUGCUCAGAUGCCACCUGGGUGCCUUCAUCGCUUCUUUUACCUACAGGUUGGCGGCUUCGGUCUCAUUUUAUCUUCCGGGCUCUUUGCCCGGCAGUUUCAGGAGAUGAAGUUUAGCUUUGCUUCGCUGGUGUGAUGUAUGCAUCGCGCGCUGUGGCACCCUCUUUCCUCAUUUCUGAACUCUACCCUUUAAUAUCAGCUAAUAUAUACCUGAAAGAACUUUCAUGAAAGAUGGUGAAAACUAGGAAAAUAUAUAGACGGAACCGAGAUUUCAGUAUUUUAUUGUUGUGGUCUACUUAAGAGAUUUAAAAGGCAUUGGUUUUCACCAUAUCUGAGAGGUCAGUCUGCUACAUAUCAAGAACCUGUUUCAAAAACUAAACCAAAACAGCAUUGUUUAUUCAGACUUCUAGUGCCGGAUUCCUUAAGUGGCAGGUAUAUUAAACCUUACAUUUUUUAAAAAGUUGCUAAGCAUAAAUUUUACCAUAGAAAUAAUCCAGUUGAACCAAAGCCUAUGUGCUCUCUCAACUUUCAGCAAUGUACUAAUAAUGCCCUGUGAACUAUGACUACUACCACUCACCAGCAGGGGGAGUGAGUUGGCCUUGAAAGGACUGUAGUACCAAAACUCCUGAAACAAACGGGCACUCCUAGUCCCAGCAGAGGCUAGAAGAAAGUGUUGGCUACCCUGGGACUGGACUUACAUACAGCUGUAACCUGCCAUGUGGGUGCUGGGAACGAAACCCGGAUCCCCUGGAAGAGCAGCUGGUUCUCAAAAACUCUCAGCAGUUUCUCCCUGAAGGUCCAUUCUUAAUACACACCAUUAUAGCAAGUCCUUUUCAUCUUUGGGACUGCAGACAUGGUGUGACUGAGAGCUGCCUGUGAUGAACUGCCUCAAGUUCCUGCUGCCAUGAGUGCCCUGUGAUGCUUGACUAUAGUUUGGAGCGUCCUAGGUGCUGUCGGAGUUAUUUUAGUGCCUCAGUGAUGUUUGGGCACACUUUAUAGUUUGCUACUAUAAAUCUGCUCUAUGGGAAAGACAAGAGGAGCGACAGCACAGGAUUCCAGAAAGAAAGACUCACCGAAGAAAUGGCAGGAACGCUAACGUAAUGAGGAAAGAUCAUGAUCAAGAUGUAGAACUCUCAGCUCCUUCUCCAGCACCACGUCUGCCUGCAUGCCAUCAUGUCCCACCAUGAUGAAAAUGGACUGAACCUCUGAACUGUCUUGUGCAGGCAGCCUUAUUGCUGAGAGUUUAUGGAGCAGCAUCCCUGUUCCAUCCAGAAGUCAUCCUGAUCGUCAGGCUCUUACAGUCCUUCUGCACCCCACUUCAUGAUGUCCCCUGACCUGUGGGUGCAGGAGUUGUGUGGUAGAUCUCCCAUUUGUGACCAGGCACCCAACAGUCAAUUAUUCAUUGCAUUUUGAUUAGUUUGCACAAGUCUUCUGACACCAUGAGAGCUAGUCCUUGUAGAAGAGGCUACCAGGUUGGAGGCUACCAGGUAUUUGUGAACAGAGUAACAGUGAACUGCUACACUGACAACUUCAAAUCUCAGAAGAAGGAAAUGGCUGAAGCCACGAGAAGAUGAAAAGAAAUUCUGUGCUCAUGGAAUAAUAGAAUUAAUAUUGUGAAAAUGACCAUCACAGAGUCAGUGCAAUCCCGACUAAAAUCCUCACAACAUUCUUCACAGAAAUAUAUUAAAAUAUGUAUAAUUAGUAUGGAACCACAAAAGACCCUGAAUAAUCAAAGCAAGUCUGAGCAAAAAGAAAUGUUGGCGGGAUUAUCAUAUCAGAUUUCAAGUUAUAGAACUCUAUAUGGUUAUAGAUUUCAUAUAUAGAAAUCUAGCUAUAUCUAUGUCUAUAUCUAUAUAUAUAUUUCAAGUUAUAUUAUAUGGUUCUGUUAUAAGUAUGACAGUGGCACAAAAAUCAGACGUGCAGAUCAGUGGAACAAGACAGAAGAGCCAGUCUUGAGUGCAUAUAAUUACAGCCACCUGAUCGUCAACAAAGGCAAGAAAAACACGCACUGGAGUAAAGGCAGCGUCUCCAACAAAUGGUGCUGGGGAAACUGACCACAUAUAGAAGGAUGAGAUUAGACCAUUAUCUGUAGCCCUGCACAAAAAUCACCUGUGUUGACUCAAAGACCUCAGUGUGAAACCUGAAACUCUGAACAGGCUAUAUGAAAACAAAUGAAGUACCCUACAGGAUGGAGGUGCAGGAAGGUGCUUUCGGAACAGGAUUUCACUUCUCAGGAAUUAAGGCCAACAGAUGGGACCUCUGCAGAGCAAGGGAACAGUCUAGGGAAGGGAGAGCUCGCAGAGAAUCUUUGCCAUCUAUUUAUCCAAUUAAAGAUUAAGAUCUAGAAUAUAGAAUGUACAAAAACGAAGAACCAAGAAAACAAGUGGACAAUCAAAAAUUGGUCUACCAAUCUGAACAUGGAGUGCUCAACAGAAGACAUAAGAUUGAGAAAUCUCUCAAAGUGUUCUGCAACCUUAACCGUUAGGGAAAUGCAAAUUAAAACUACUUAGAGGUUUCAUCUUACCCGGGUCAGAAUGGCUAAGAUCAAGGAAACAAGUGAUAACAGACCUUGGCAGCGAUGUGAGGAAAGUGAACUGUCAUUGACUGUUGGUGGAACCACAGAUGGUUGCAGCCCCUAUGGAAAUCGGUGUAGAGCGUUCUUAAAGAGCCCCAAGUACAGUCGCCACAUCACCCAGUGACACCAUUCAUUGGCAUAUACCCAAAGACUUGAUAGCCUGCCUCAGAAAUACUUAUGCAGUUGUGUUUAUUUAGUAUGUUUUCAACUGUAUGAAGGUGUAUACGCCGUGGACAUCACCAUUUAUCCAGUUUAAAGUGUAUAGUUCUGAGACCAUCCACAGGUACAAUGCUGCACAAUUAUCAAUUUCCACAAUUUUUCAUCACUCCAAACAGAAAGUCUGUACCCAUGAAAACAACAACUUCCAGUUUUCUCCUGUUACUAACACCUGGAAACCUCUAUAUUAUUCUCUAUCUCUAUGGAUUUGGCUGCUGUAGAUAGUUCAUAUGAUAAGAAGCAGAAAGGAAUAGGCGCAAUGAUAAAGGAGGCAAUUCUGGCAGCAUCCCGGAGUCCCAAUGUUAACAGAGCAGUUAUCUUGACAGACUUCUGCUCAGCUAUCAGCCAGGUGGCAGAGCAAACAUGUUCUGACAAACGAACAGAAGGGUACAAACGGGGGUGCAGCAGGGACAUCAUCUCAGGCAGAAGGAUUGUGUCUACUACUCAAGUUGUGCUUCUGGGGAUCUUCCUUUUCAGGGGAGUCAGUCUUGUGAGGCUGACUUCCUUGACAGCUACUGAGGAAAAGGAAUCCAUUUGGGAGGCAUGCCUCACAGAGCAAUGGAGGUUCAAGACAUAUUUUGAUGCAGAAGCAAUCUUUACUGUAUUCAGCUACUAGCAUUUUGAAUUAAAUUUGCUGCAUCAUAAAUCGAUUGAUUUUGACUAAUCUGCUUCGGAGGCAUGUGUGGAGCUUACAUUUCGUGAGGAGAGAAAAAUCAGCAAGCAAAUCCAUGUAAAGAUGACAGGUCAGGACUGUUGCUUUGAAGGAAACAUGACAGAAAAUAACUGAAAAGACCUGCUCGUGAUGACAGGGAGAGCUGAGGAGGUGACACUGGAGAAUGAGGGAGCCUUCAGAGUGAGAGGAAGAGGGCCGGCCAAGAACGAAGACCUUGAUGUUUGGACAAGUGUGAUGUCUCCGCAGCCAAGACGGCGGAAGUGCGCACACUGGGUGUGCGCAAAUUGGAGCCCUCUCCGAAGUUCUAAUUUGAUUUUCAAAGCAACGGGAAGGCUUGGGGCUUGGGGAGAGUGUGAUAGGAUCUAUGUUUUAAGUGUAUCGGCCUAGAAAAUAACUUUGAAUUGCAGAGCAGCUCGUGAAGAGGGUCUUUUAAUAAUUCAGCUCAGAGAUAAUGAAAAGCUUCAUUUCAGAAAGUAGACGUGGACUGGGAAAGAAUGGAUGGAUUCAAGAUCGAGUUUGAAAGAGGUGUGUGGUGCCUGAGCUUCGGUAUCAAUGGGAUUGGACUAAAAAGUCCCUCGGAGAUCAGAGAAGCUCACCCCUGAAUGUGUCUGUGAGGUUUUUUUCCAGAGAGAACUAACUUAGGUGCUCUGGCUGUGGUUGGCAUCAUUCCAUAGGCUGGGAGUGUAGGAGGAAUAGGAAGAGGGAAAGAAAGGGAGAGCAGUCUCCUUUUCUGCUCUCUGGCUACCAUAAUGCAAGCCGUUCUGCUUUACUGCACCCUCCUUGCCAUGAUGGAACAAACCUGUGACCAAAAUCAAUUCUGUUUCCAUUAAGGUGUUUCUGUCAGGAAUUUUGGUAUACAGAGGAAUAAGGAACACACAGGGUAAUAUUAAAAAUGAAAAAACAAGUGGGCUGGAGAGAUAGCUCAGCCGUUAAGAGCAUUUGUUCUUGCAGAGGACCCAGGUUCAAUUCCCUGAACCCAUAUUUUUGUCUGUACCUCCAGACCCUGAGGAUCUGAUGACCUCUUCUGAACUCUGCAGGCACCAGGCACCCAUGUGGUGCACACACAUACAUGCAGGUAAAACACUCGUACAUACAAAAUAGUAAAAUAAAUAAAUCUAAAACAAUGACAACCACAUCAACAAAAGUAAAACCCUAGGGAUAGGAAACCCAGGACUGAGUAUCAGGGAUUAGAGGGAGACCUAUUUUGUUCUCUAUACUGUUCCAGGUUACUUGAAGUUUUAAACUAUAAGUGUGUAAAAAAAAAAAUUUUUUUUUUUUGGUUUUUCGAGACAGGGUUUCUCUGAAGUGUGUAAAAAUUUAAAAACAAAUAAAGUCAGCAUGGGUCUGACAGGAACCACUAGUUUCUCCUAAAACUUAGAGGAAAAUAAUACUCGUUGAAGAUGUCACUUCACUACAGGGGACCCAGGGCUUUCCUCUGUCAUUUGUGGCCACACACACACACACACACACACACACACACACACACACACACACCAAACAAAAAAAAACAAAAAGCAAAAAAAAAAUCUUAGUAAACAAACAAACAAACAAACAAAAAACCCUGACAAAACAGAACCUCUCUAUCAUAAAAAGACGAAGGCACAGAAAUCUGGAGCCUAAUAACGUUAUUUCCUCCAGAAGUGGUCUUUAGCUUGAAUAAAGAUGCAGGAAGAGAAGCUCUGGGUACAGAAGACAUCAAAGUCAGGGGGAGUGUGGUUGGGAUAGUGAGUGAACGGAGAAGCGAUGGAUCGCUUCACUGAUGAUCUCACAGGGGGAGUGUGGUUGGGAUAGUGAGUGAAUGGAGAAGCGAUGGAUCACUUCACUGAUGGUCUCACAGGGGCUGAAGAGUUUUUGCUGUGUUCAAUACAAUGGAAUAUGGAAGGACAUUUGUAUGAUCUUUUGGGAUACUUGAAGAUGGGAAUUGCUAGUCAUGACAGGGCUCAGAAUGGCAACCAUGUUGGGGUUAAGUCAAAGGCAGUGUGAUCUAAACAUUCUAAUACAAGCAAUGUAGAAUUUGACUUUGGUUUCUAUCUCAUUGUGCUAAUAAUGUUUUGAGUGAUUGCAAAAUACAGGCCAUAUUUCAUAACAUAGGUGGUGACAAAAAAGAGAACUGUUUAUCAUUGCACCUUCAGGAGAUUUUGGCAAAGGAAUUUCUGAUUUUUCUACAAUUUUAUCUUGUAGGUAAGAGUGGGGGUGAUAAAUUGCUAAUCAAUAGCAACCAGACCAGAUAUUUGCAGGACAGUCAUGAGAAAAGAGGACAACAGUUUCCCAAUAAGGAUGAAUAAUGGCCACAAUCAAAGAUAACCCUGAUAGAUAACUCAGUACAGAAGGGAAUUGGAAGGUGCUUAACGUUUCUGAUUCAUAUGAAUAGAUCACUCUUUGAGAUUACAUCCAAAAUAACAAACAAUAUUUAUAUGGACAAUUUCCUGGAAUUGCAGAAAAUUUUUCUUGAGAGCUAGAGGAAUAUGGCGUUUUGGAAAACAGAGGAAUAGUUUUAUUAAAAGAAAUAAUGGAGCUAUUCUUUUAAAAUAUUUUUUAAAAUUAAAAUAUAAUUACACCAUUUUCCCUCUUCUGUUUCUUUCCUCCAGCCAUACCAGGUACAUUUCCCAGCUUGUUCUCUCUCACUCAUAGCCUUUUUUUUUUUUACUUUAAUUAUUUAUAUAUAUAUAUAUGUUUAUGUAUAUAUGCAUAUAUAUAUAUUCCUAAAUAUAACUGGAACCUUCACAGUCUAUAUAAUGUUACUUGUACGCACAUAAUUUCAGGGCCGAGCCCUUGGUAUUGGAUAGCCAGUUGGCGUGCUCUUCUGGGGAAGGCUAUGUCUCUGCUCUCGGCAUUCCCUGGGUGGCUGUAGUUCCUCGCCUAGGAUUAAGGCCCUUUGAGAUUUCUCCCUUCCUUGUUAGCAAGUCUAUUGGUGUCGUCCCUGUGCACGUGGAACUAUUCUUUACAACAUUUGAUAAUGUGGUGGGAGAAAUCAUUCCAUUAAAGUGGCUAUUUAGCAUGUACGGUAUGUAUCAACAAUGAGAUGGCUGCCACUUGAAAUUUUCAUGAUUCUUGAUCUUAACACACUGACACACUUGGAAAGCUAUAGAAUAGUGGGAUAUUGCUCACACGAAAGACCGAAAUAAAACAAGAGAUCAAUCUUUAAUGAAUCACAAGACAAAGGAUAAAAAUGACGUGGAAAUUCAGAAAAAGAUGAGCCCAGGAGAGCUGAUAUUUACAGUGUGGUCUCAAUGGAAGUCACUAUCCCCUGGAUCUGGAAUUAGAAAACUUAGAUUAGGACCUAGUGUGGCUCUGUGGCCCUGGACAAAUUUGUUCUUAAGAGGAUUUUCACUAUUUGUCCUCAGAUCUAUGCAUUGCCCUCUCUGUUUACCAGUAGGUUAGUGUAUGUUGGUAAUGUGGGGGUGGGGUAGAUGGUCGGGGAGGAGUCUCAUUUCUCUAUGAUGCUAUCUAUUGAUUUGUGCCCUCUCCACCCAAUUCAUGUGUUGAAAUUCUUACCUCCAUUAUGACAGUAUCUGGAAACAGCACCUUUUGGAAGAUAAAUGAGGUCAGAAAAGUAGGGCCUGUAUCAGCAACUUUUGUUACUGCUGUGAACAAAUACUUGACAAGAAGCAACUCAAGGGAGGAAGGAUUUGUUUGGAGUCAGGGUUUGCCGGGGAAGGCAUAGCAGUGAAAUCUGCUUGAAGCUGUGGCUGCAGGAGCAUGAGGCUGCUUACUCACAUCCGGGCUUAUCACCAUGAUGUAGAAACAGUAGGAAAUGAGACCUUAAACUCUCUCACCCAGUGGCCCACUUCCCCUCCCUAGGCUCCACUUCCCAAAGGUUCCACAGCCUCCCAAAAUAGUGACACUGGCUGAGACCCAACCAUUAAAUACUUGAGCCUUUCACAUUCAAACCUUGAUGGAUCCCUAAUCCGACAGGGCCAUGGUUUUGUAAGAAGAGAAAGAUUUGUAUUUAUCUCAUUUGAACACAUAAAAGGUACAGCAAGAAGACAGCUGUCUACAAGCUAGAAAAAGAGCCUUCACUGGAACUACUCAUGCUGGCACCUUGACAUUCAACAUCACAGCCCUGGAACUGCAAGAGGUAGAUGUCCGUUGUUUAAGCUGGUGUUAAACAUGGUAUUCUAUUAUAGGGUCAUAAAAAUACAAAGACGCUGGCUUCCUAUGUCAGGCCAAUAGUAGGUACAAGGAGACUGGAGCAGGAAAAGGAUGGAAUUGCUGGAGUACCUGUCCCCUUCUGAUUGUCUCAGCAGCAUCUCCAUGUCUCUUUAAUGAAUCCAGACAGGUAGGUCAUGGUUCUAGUAUCUACAGGGUAAAAAUUUUCUUUUUGUCCUUCCAACCUAGGGUUGCAACAGCUUAUUGCUGGUACUGAACACUGGUUAUCUCACUUUCAGCUUUUCCACCACUUAUGCUACCAGUCCUUUGUAUUAAAGUCAUAAUAAAUAAAUACAUGGGGUUUUUUUUGUUUGAAAUUUGACCAAGAAAACAGUACCUUUAAAAAAAUGUGGUACUGUAAAGCCAGAGGCUGGAGAGGUAGCUCACAGUCAAGAGCACUUACUGUUCUUGCAAAGGAUCUGGUCUGUUGUAAAAUAUUAUUUUAAAAUGUGCUCCAUUUGUUUAUGCUGUGGAACAUUUGUUUAAUGGUGCAAAGAUGUGUUGCAUUCUUUUGUGUUGCAUUUGUUUAACUCUGUGAAGCUGCGUUACUGUGCCUGUCUAAAACACCUGAUUGGUCUAAUAAAGAGCUGAACUGCCAAUAGUGAGGCAGAAGAAAGGAUAGGUGGGGCUGGCAGGCAGAGAGAAUAAGUAGAAGGAAAAAUCUGAGACAAGAAGGAGCAAAAGAACAAGGAGAGGAGAACACCAGGGGCCAGCCACUCAGCCACCCAGCCAGCCAUGGAGUGAGAGUGAACAAAAGAUAUACACAAGUAAGAGAAAGGCAAAAACCCACAGGCAAAAGGUCGACGGGAUAAUUAGUUAAGAAAAGCUGGCAAGAAACAAGCCAAGCCAAGGCCGGGCAUUUAUGAGAAAUACUAAGCUUCCAUGUGUGUGAUAUAUUUAGGAUCUGGGUGGUGGGCCCCCUAAAAGAGCCAAGAGCCUAAGAGUAAAAAAAAAAACAACAACAACAACAACCAACAACACAGGUCCAUUUCCCAGCAGCUACAUCAGACAGCUGACAAUAGCCUGUAACUCCAGUUCCUGGGGAUCUAAGGACCUUUGCCCUCCUUAGGCACCUGUAUACAUGUGGCAUUUAUAAACUCACUCAGGCACAUGUAUAUACACAUAAACUAAACAAAAAAAUCUGACGAAAUAAAGUAACCCUUAAAAUAAUAUACCAUGAAGCUAUGCUAUAAUUUGCCAUUUGAGUAGUAGCAGUUAAUCAUUCACAGAUGUCCGGCUGCACAUGCCUGUCUUUGUCUGUCUUGUUCAUGAGGGCUACACAAUCACGUUUGUGUUCUGUCUUCUCUGAUCUAAUUGAUCCUGCCAGAGAACCCAGAGGGAUCCUUCACGGGUCACAUUGCUGACUCACUCCCAGCCCUCCCCUUUCAGAAAGCUGAGCUGAGACUCACAAAGGAUCACUUCAGCUGAUGAUGGUCAGGGAAGCUGAGGGGCCAGAGCAGGAAGUCAUACUGAUGAGCAGACGGGAGAGAUGCUCAAGGACCAACCAGGUUGUGGCUUAUGGAAAAGGAAGCCUUGGUUUCAGUCCACUUCUGUUUUAGCUUUGCAUGAAGCUCGCUAUUCCUCCCUCAGAUCUCAUGGAAUUCUUUGCAUGGCAUCCAUAAAUAUCCUGUCACUGAAGCUAACUAGCUGGGCAUUUGUGUUCAGGAUACUGCAUAUAUGUCUCUCUCUGUCUCUCUCUGUCUCUCUGUCUCUCUGUCUCUCUGUCUCUCUCUCUCUCUCUCUCUCUCUCUCUCUCUCUCUCUCUCUCUCUCUCUCUCUCUCUCUCCCUCUCCCUCUGACUUUGAACUGCCCUUAACCACAUUUAGCCCAUGACUGGAUGGUGAGAAUUACGUGGAGUCACAUCCAGGAUGAACAACACAAACAAAAGUUCAUGGACAAGAGAUGAUAUUCUGGACUAUCUUCGACACCCUGCUGUUUAAACAACCCCGCGUUUAUCAAGAACCACUAAGGACCCAGGCAAAACUCUUAAAAUCAAAUGUAGUUGGACUUUUACAGCCUUUGCUCUCCGUAGUUGGCUAAUGAUGUUGGAGUUCCCCGAAGCUCAUUUUAAAAUGACAUAAUUGUAAUAUUCAAAGCAGAACAGUGGUGACCAUAGUGCUAAAAUUACUUUUAAAACAGAUCUACAAUCAGUGCAUGUCUUUGACUUCCAGGAAGGUCAUCUCACCGGGGUAUUUAAAAAUCAGGUCAGAAAAAAGCAGUAAACAAGGGCUUUCCCUGGAAACCAACUUUGCAAUUUUCUAAAGAUAAACUUUUAAAAUUCACCCAGAGUACCUAAUAGACUAUCAUCCACAACGCUGAUGUGUGUGUAUGUUCUGGUGUGUCCUGUGAUUAGGUAGUUUACAACCAUUUGUUCUUGGUCCAGAAAAUUCUCACUAUUGAUAUAACACUCCUGUGCUGAUUAACUAUUGGCGUUUGGUGAAUGGCGGAUUCCAUCCUGCUGUUUUAAUGUGACGUAAUGGAGAGAAGGGCUUGGAUGGAGCGUGAAAUGUGCUGGCGGAAGCAAGUUUAGUCUCAAGGUCUGACAAGACACUGGUGACCCUCACCUAUAUAGCUGGAAUCUAUCCUGAAGUUGUUUCUUUAAUUUUUUUUAUUAUAUUUAUUGCUUGAUUUUGGGGGUGAGUGGGUAAGUCCAUGUGCCACUGCCCAUGUGUGGCAGUUGGAAGACAACUUUUGGAAGUUGCUUUUCUUCUUCUAUCUAUUGAGGGCUGGGGGUCAAACCCAAGUGGUCAGGGUUGGUGACAAGUGCCUUCACCCACUGAGCCAUCUCACUGGCCUGUGACGUUGUUCCUUAUUAAAGAAGAAAAUAUCUGCACACAAUAUUUGUGUACUAUGUGGGGUUUUAGCUGAUUACACAAACCCACUUGUUGGGGCAACAUGUAUCUUAACAAACUGUUUAGUUGCAUAGAAUCAUGCAUUUUAAAAUUCCACUAUAUAAUUUUAACUUUCACUGUAUAAUCUAAGUUGGUACUGACCUUAAGUAUCGUACAACCCUUAUAAGAAAGCACAAGAAUUUCUCCCUUCUAUAAAUAUUAGACGAUAUUAAUGAUAUUUAAUUAUUUGUUUGUUAUACGAGCUUGGCUGCUAUAAUGAAAUGGUUGAACCUCCAAGUUGAGAUAUAGAAUGUUACCCACUGGACUCCUGUAUGAUACCAGAACAACAGUGAUUACUGGGGUGAAGGCUCACCCCAAAUUUCUAGACUUGUUUCUCUGUCCUUAACACACAGUCAUACUUAUCAGAAAAGAUUAUUUUGUAGAAGCAGUUUUUAUGGGAUCUGAUUCUGACAAACUAAUUUAGCUUUCUAUUGAACAUUUGGAUAACACAUUAAAAUUUAAUACAAGACAUUUUCUAAAAGAACAGGUGUUUUAUGUAUUUUUAAGUUCACCAUUUUUAAAACUAUAUCAUUUCAUUGAUCUAAGACCCUGUAACCAUAGCAGGAAAUAUGAUAAUAUUUAUUAGUUUGCAUUGAUUGUUGUCAGACUCUGUCUUUUAAAUUCUGACUCUCAGGCACUGUUACUUCCCUUGCUCCAUGUCUCUGGGGCAUUCUGUAUUUUGGGGCCUGGUUCUUUUUGCAACUAGAGCUAUGUGAGCCUUUGUAGUAGCUACUGAGCUCUGAAGCCCUUCUGGCCAACUGUGAUUUAUUUCUGUAAUUCUUUUAAAGAUUUAUUUAUUAUGUAUAUUGUGUUCUGUCUGCAUGUAUGCCUAUUCACCAAAAGAGGACACCAGAUCUCAUUAUAGAUGGUUGUGAGCCACCAUGUGGUUGCUGGGAAUUGAACUCAGGACCUCUGGGAGAGCAGUCAGUGCUCUUAACCUCUGAGUCAUCUCUCCAGCUCUGAACAUGGGUUUUUGACAAACCUUGGCUUUGUUCAUUUCAUAAACAACAGACUAAUGAGCAGAUUCUAGGUUUCUCCUCCAGUCUGGGAGGCUGGCUUUCUCCGUAGGACAAAGCCUUUCUUGACCUGUUGCGUUUCCAUUUCCGAAUUCGCUGCCUGUUUCUCUGUUAUUAGAGGUGUAGAACAUCUGGAUUUCUCAGUGUCCACUGUGCCCGCUAGCUCACUGCUCUCCUUUCCCAAUUGGCAUCACAAUUGGUCUUGCUUCCUCCAGAUGCUCUUGGAGUCUAAAUGCCAAAAGGUUUUUCAUUACAGGUCCUAUUGCUGAAUCACAGCUUUCUCCAGAUCUCCAGGUCUGCGUUUCAUCAGUGCCUUAAUGUCCCAGCAUGACAUCUUAUAAGAAGUCAUCAAAAGAAAGAAAUAAUGUCAUCCACACUCAUCAAGGUCUUCAGCAGCAAAUAUAAAGAAGAAUGACUUCUGAACGUACAUUCUCAAGUUAUCCUUUAAGACUCACCAUGGUUUCAGAAAGGCAGCACACAAGUAUAAAUUAAUAAGCAAUGCGUUCGAUUUUAUCUUAACCCUUGCUUAAGUACAGACUACAAAAACUAUCUGCUUCUGUGAAUCUUUUUCUAGGACUGCUUUCAUGUCAUGUAACAUUUAAAACUCAGAUGAAAAUUUUGGAGGAUUAGUUUCUCAAAUUCAUGCUUGGUAAAGAGCACAUCUAUAAAUGAUUCCACCGAAGCACGUGUUUGGCAUAGAGACAAUCUUGUUGUGGGGUGACUCUUGGAUCUUACUCUAGACUCUGGUAGCCCUGUCCUAGAACCCACCAUGGUGUUUGAGGACUGCUAUAGCUUGCAAAUAUCAUAAGGGUAGUAAAAUUCAAUGAAGCCCAAUAUCACAGAGAUAGUUUUGGGGUGUUGAGCUAGGUGUGUUGGAUGUGAUCUGUUGCAUGAAUCCUAAAUGGUCUUAUAAUAAAAACCUGGAGCCAGAUAUCAGGGUGAAAACUAAAAGAUCAGAGAAGCAGAGCAAUCCACAGCCACCACCUCUCACCUCACCAACUCCGCAGCCUGCAAGAGCUCGUGUUCCUGUCUCCUCCCUCCUUGUAUUCCUUUCUUCGCCCAGCCAUAUCACUUCCUGUCUCAGCCUUCCUACUGCUGGUGUGUGAUCCCAAGUGCUGGAAUUAAAGGUGUAUGCCACUA
This is an RNA transcript of Peromyscus californicus insignis, 13427 nucleotides long. It is a transcript of the gene named 40S ribosomal protein S25-like, with no coding region annotated. The transcript has 13 exons. NCBI's taxonomy places the organism in Eukaryota, Metazoa, Chordata, Mammalia, Rodentia, Cricetidae. The record is from RefSeq and is a predicted model, not a curated record.